GGGAGAACUUAGCCAGCUUAGGUGGCUCAUCAGGGUCACUGUUAGGACGUGAGAGUUGGAAUUCCAACCUAGGGCACUUAACUUCAGAGCUCACAGUUCUGGAAUCACAAUACUGUAUGAAAAGCCCCAAAUGCCUAAAAGAGUCAAAGAUAUUUCUGUUCUGUUAUGACAUAAUUCUGUAGUCAUUAUUGAAGUUUAAAAUAAACUUGGGGUAAUUGAUUAUUGGAACAGAAUUUCAGAAAAUUCUAUCCCAGGUUAAAAAAAAAUACUAUUUUAUGUUUGAAGGCAGUUCAUGAAAUAUAGAGACUAGAAAAGAGCCAAAAGACAAGGCUGCUUGAGCUCAUUUAGAAUCCUCAAAGCCAAGCAAUAUGAGAAUGAAGAGAAAAAUCUAAAAAAGGAAAACAUCUGUUUUAAAAAAUUACCUAAUGUUCAACACCAAUUUUCCCUUCUGAUGGUGUUUUGUCUGCUUAACAUCAAAGCAUUUAUAUGUUGUUUAAUAUUGGUGCUUCACAACUUGGUGCAGUAGGCUGGGUUCAAUUCACUUGCUAACAAUUUUCCCAGGCUUCCUUUUAUCAUUAGAAUGAGGGAGCUUUCCCAUUUGUUACUGACUCCUCUUGGUCGCUGAGGUAUCAGUUCUACUUUUUAUUAAUAGACCUGAAAUUUAGACUGAAGCUGCUGCCCAAGACCUCACAAAUACUAGAAUCCACAUCUGGCUUUUUCCACUUAGAAGCUUAAAGUCACCGAAAAGUGUCACAAAACCAGGUGGAGAAUCAGUGUGUUUCACAGGAAACAAAAAUAUGGUGGGAUAAUCUUGAUCACCGCUGAAACACUGUCAGUCACCUGUUAGGUGUCCAACACUGUUGUAAGGGUUGGGAAUAACAGCUGGGGCGGACAAGGCUGCUGCCCUCAUGGGACUGCGUUCUCUGCUGGGAGACAAUCCAUGUGCAAUAUCAGGUAAGUGCUGUGCAGAGAAGAACUGGCCACGCAUGACAGAGGGUGGUCAGGAAAGGCCUCUGAAGGGGUAGUUAGCUGAGAUCUGAAUGACAGGAAGGAGGUCCGGGCCCCAUAAUAUGAAGAUCAGGGUGAGGCUGUUCACUCAAAGGCACGGAACAUCGGGAGAACACAUGGAUGAUAUGGGUCCAGGGAGAGUAUUUGGGGCAGAGUCCAAGUGUGAAAUGUGGGGAAGAAAGAUGAUUUACAUUUUUAAAAUCAGUGUUGCUGCGUAUCUAGAAGGGAGGGGCACAAGGAGAGGCAAGAAGGCCAGUGUGGAGGCUGUUGCCAUUGUCCAGGCGACGGGGCAGCGUGGACUCCGGUAGCAAGGGAGAUAGCUGUAAAACACCUCUCCGGUCCUACCUGUUUCCUCCCCUCCAGCUCAGCUUGUUUCCAUCUCUGGCAUAAUCGUAACUGUGCUUAUUCCAUUAAUCUGCUUAAAGCCAGAUUUUUUAAAUUGAGAGAAGAAAAGUUUUGAAGAUUAAAAACCCAACAGUAGGCCGGGCGCGGUGGCUCACGCCUGUAAUCCCAGCACCUUGGGAGGCCUAGGCGGGUGGAUCACGAGGU
Molecule: long non-coding RNA, 1557 nt
Organism: Cebus imitator (Panamanian white-faced capuchin)
Lineage: Eukaryota; Metazoa; Chordata; Mammalia; Primates; Cebidae
Exons: 3
Source: RefSeq, a predicted model, not a curated record